Molecule: long non-coding RNA, 675 nt
Organism: Ficedula albicollis (Collared flycatcher)
Lineage: Eukaryota; Metazoa; Chordata; Aves; Passeriformes; Muscicapidae
Exons: 5
Source: RefSeq, a predicted model, not a curated record
UGCUAUCUGACAGGGAUAGGAUCUUCUGACAGACAGGGAAGUGAGUGUUCCUACAGAUGAUUAAAGAAAGAAAAAUUCAUUAUCAGCAACACCCUGAAACUCCAAAACAGGAAAAGCAGUCCAGCCAAUCACUGCCCAGCCUAUGGAGGUCACUCCCUGGAUAUCUGGUUUACACAACCUGGAACUACAGCUUAAUAAGGCACGCCCAAAAUAAAUCUCCCUGUUUGGAUUUCUAAAACCACACAAACAUUAACAAGAUUAAACAGCAGCAUAGCUGGGACACCAGCCUACAGUGGCAAAGGCAGCACAAGACUCCAACCAAACUAUCAGUGCAUUUUACUUCUUAGCCUCACAAAGAGCUGUGUACUACCACACAGACAUCCCUGAGACAGUAUUGAUACCAAGAGAAGGCAUACUGAAUCUUAGUUUCCAUGACAGCAGACAUCCAUAAACGACUCAACUCUGCAACUCAGAGAAGUGGCGACAGCUUCAGAGCACGGCCAGGUACCAAGAACCUUCCUACUCCUGCCCCACAGCCAUGUCCAGGAAAACCUGUGCCUAAACCUGUGCUCACCAAGCCAAAUCACUACCAACAGGUCCCUCAACAGGUCCCCCGGCUGCUGAAUGGACAAAGAUUAACAAUAUGUUUGCCAUUACAAGUGUCUCUGAUAUUCC